GGAAACCGGACGGUGCCAGCGCGCACGUCGUGCGUCCGUCCCACGGCCACAGGUGUCACGCACCAGCAGCGGGCGAGCAGUUGCCACCACCCCCGUUGGCUCGUCGCCGCAUGUUCCCCGGAUCAUGCCGCGCGCCCCGGGCCCCCGUGGCGCACGCGACCCGUCACUUUCGGGCGAAAACGAGGUAGAUAGCUAGAGAGCAAGCAAGCGGAGGCGAGGGCCGCCGCAUCAGCAGCAAUUCAGCAUGCGUCCGCGCAGGCGCACGAGCUCCUGCUGCAGCAGGGAGGGGGUCCGCGGCAGGAACACGGCACAUGCACC
This 318-nucleotide long non-coding RNA is filed under the name Setaria italica (foxtail millet). RNAcentral describes it as "long non-coding RNA (SITA_LNC000748)". Lineage: Eukaryota; Viridiplantae; Streptophyta; Magnoliopsida; Poales; Poaceae. The record is from RNAcentral.